This 253-nucleotide ribosomal RNA is filed under the name uncultured bacterium. Its description in RNAcentral is "partial 16S ribosomal RNA". It matches the Rfam family "Bacterial small subunit ribosomal RNA", at positions 524 to 776 of the family's 1533-position model. The record is from RNAcentral.
UACGGAGGGUGCAAGCGUUAUCCGGAUUCACUGGGUUUAAAGGGUGCGUAGGCGGGUAUGUAAGUCAGUGGUGAAAUCUUGGAGCUUAACUCCGAAACUGCCAUUGAUACUAUAUAUCUUGAAUAUCGUUGAGGUUUGCGGAAUAUGUCAUGUAGCGGUGAAAUGCUUAGAUAUCGAGAGGAACACCUGCGGCGAAGGCGGGUUGCUGGGCCGACACUGACGCUGAUGCGCGAAAGCCAGGGGAGCGAACGGG